UCAGCAGUGCUAAAGUGCUUAUAGUGCAGGUAGUAUUUCUGUCAUCUACUGCAGUGUGAGCACUUGAAGUACUUCUAG
Molecule: non-coding RNA, 78 nt
Organism: Danio rerio (zebrafish)
Lineage: Eukaryota; Metazoa; Chordata; Actinopteri; Cypriniformes; Danionidae
Source: Rfam